Molecule: non-coding RNA, 764 nt
Organism: Oryza sativa Japonica Group (Japanese rice)
Lineage: Eukaryota; Viridiplantae; Streptophyta; Magnoliopsida; Poales; Poaceae
Source: RefSeq, a predicted model, not a curated record
GCAUAGUGAUAGAUCCAAUUUUUAUCUUGAAUGGUGCUUCAAGCACCGUAUAUGUGGGGUUAUUUUUUGGCCCUUAUUUUUUUAAAUCUUCCUUCCUCUUUUCUUUGUAUAAAAAUAUAAGAUGCGGCUCGAAAUGUAUUGUUUUUUAUAUGGUCAUCGGCCUGUCCUUGUUUGGUUUCAUAUAUGAGCUUUUCUCCUCCAACAUCUUAUUAUGUAUGGCAUUUCCAAUAACUUUUUGCAAUGUCAUCUCGAUGGCUUGCAUAUAUAUGAUAUUGACGGGAAGGGCCUGUAACUAUAGGGGGUACCAUGAUUGUGUUGGAUUGCUUUGACCUUUACAGAACAUUAUUUUUCAAGAAAAAGAAAUAUAGCUGUAUUUUGAUAUCAUCUUUUCUUGUAUUGCAGGUUCUAUAUUCCGUAACUCGCCGCGUUUGGUGUCUACGUUUGGACUAUAUCUUACUGAUUUACAUUAGGGGCUAACUGGUGUUCAAUUUUUCAUUUCAUUCCUACCUCUAAAGAUAGUGCUUUUAAAAAAUGUUGGCCUUCAGUAAAACAUGCUGGAUGAUGUGCUGAGAACAAACUGAAGGUGCUGAGAUCUAUGCAGUACCUGUUUUCUGAUCUGAUCUAUGUAUUGUACUUGUGAGAGAUGAUGGCACGUAUGAAUAAUGAAAAUCGAUGUUAUUAUUUUCUUUCUGAGGUAGUACUGUAUUGUGUUUUAUUUAUAAAUUUUAUUUGAGGUCAAAUAUCAAUAAGGCUGCGUUUGUUUA